Molecule: ribosomal RNA, 494 nt
Filed under: uncultured bacterium
Lineage: Bacteria
Description: partial 16S ribosomal RNA
Rfam family: Bacterial small subunit ribosomal RNA
Source: RNAcentral
GACGAACGCUGGCGGCGUGCCUAAUACAUGCAAGUAGAACGCUGAAGGAGGAGCUUGCUUCUCUGGAUGAGUUGCGAACGGGUGAGUAACGCGUAGGUAACCUGCCUGGUAGCGGGGGAUAACUAUUGGAAACGAUAGCUAAUACCGCAUAAUAGUAGAUGUUGCAUGACAUUUGCUUAAAAGGUGCAAUUGCAUCACUACCAGAUGGACCUGCGUUGUAUUAGCUAGUUGGUGGGGUAACGGCUCACCAAGGCGACGAUACAUAGCCGACCUGAGAGGGUGAUCGGCCACACUGGGACUGAGACACGGCCCAGACUCCUACGGGAGGCAGCAGUAGGGAAUCUUCGGCAAUGGACGGAAGUCUGACCGAGCAACGCCGCGUGAGUGAAGAAGGUUUUCGGAUCGUAAAGCUCUGUUGUAAGAGAAGAACGAGUGUGAGAGUGGAAAGUUCACACUGUGACGGUAUCUUACCAGAAAGGGACGGCUACUACGUG